RNAcentral lists this ribosomal RNA (253 nucleotides) under uncultured Lachnospiraceae bacterium. Its description in RNAcentral is "partial 16S ribosomal RNA". It matches the Rfam family "Bacterial small subunit ribosomal RNA", at positions 524 to 776 of the family's 1533-position model. The record is from RNAcentral. Lineage: Bacteria; Bacillati; Bacillota; Clostridia; Lachnospirales; Lachnospiraceae.
UACGUAGGGGGCAAGCGUUAUCCGGAUUUACUGGGUGUAAAGGGAGCGUAGACGGCGCGGCAAGUCUGAAGUGAAAGGCAGGGGCUUAACCCCUGAACUGCUUUGGAAACUGCCAUGCUAGAGUGCUGGAGAGGUAAGUGGAAUUCCUAGUGUAGCGGUGAAAUGCGUAGAUAUUAGGAGGAACACCAGUGGCGAAGGCGGCUUACCAGACUGAGUCUGACGCUGAUGCACGAGAGCAUGGGUAGCGAACAGG